This 2900-nucleotide ribosomal RNA is filed under the name Escherichia coli. RNAcentral describes it as "23S ribosomal RNA". It matches the Rfam family "Bacterial large subunit ribosomal RNA". The record is from RNAcentral. Lineage: Bacteria; Pseudomonadati; Pseudomonadota; Gammaproteobacteria; Enterobacterales; Enterobacteriaceae.
UUAAGCGACUAAGCGUACACGGUGGAUGCCCUGGCAGUCAGAGGCGAUGAAGGACGUGCUAAUCUGCGAUAAGCGUCGGUAAGGUGAUAUGAACCGUUAUAACCGGCGAUUUCCGAAUGGGGAAACCCAGUGUGAUUCGUCACACUAUCAUUAACUGAAUCCAUAGGUUAAUGAGGCGAACCGGGGGAACUGAAACAUCUAAGUACCCCGAGGAAAAGAAAUCAACCGAGAUUCCCCCAGUAGCGGCGAGCGAACGGGGAGCAGCCCAGAGCCUGAAUCAGUGUGUGUGUUAGUGGAAGCGUCUGGAAAGGCGUGCGAUACAGGGUGACAGCCCCGUACACAAAAAUGCACAUAUUGUGAGCUCGAUGAGUAGGGCGGGACACGUGGUAUCCUGUCUGAAUAUGGGGGGACCAUCCUCCAAGGCUAAAUACUCCUGACUGACCGAUAGUGAACCAGUACCGUGAGGGAAAGGCGAAAAGAACCCCGGCGAGGGGAGUGAAAAAGAACCUGAAACCGUGUACGUACAAGCAGUGGGAGCACGCUUAGGCGUGUGACUGCGUACCUUUUGUAUAAUGGGUCAGCGACUUAUAUUCUGUAGCAAGGUUAACCGAAUAGGGGAGCCGAAGGGAAACCGAGUCUUAACUGGGCGUUAAGUUGCAGGGUAUAGACCCGAAACCCGGUGAUCUAGCCAUGGGCAGGUUGAAGGUUGGGUAACACUAACUGGAGGACCGAACCGACUAAUGUUGAAAAAUUAGCGGAUGACUUGUGGCUGGGGGUGAAAGGCCAAUCAAACCGGGAGAUAGCUGGUUCUCCCCGAAAGCUAUUUAGGUAGCGCCUCGUGAAUUCAUCUCCGGGGGUAGAGCACUGUUUCGGCAAGGGGGUCAUCCCGACUUACCAACCCGAUGCAAACUGCGAAUACCGGAGAAUGUUAUCACGGGAGACACACGGCGGGUGCUAACGUCCGUCGUGAAGAGGGAAACAACCCAGACCGCCAGCUAAGGUCCCAAAGUCAUGGUUAAGUGGGAAACGAUGUGGGAAGGCCCAGACAGCCAGGAUGUUGGCUUAGAAGCAGCCAUCAUUUAAAGAAAGCGUAAUAGCUCACUGGUCGAGUCGGCCUGCGCGGAAGAUGUAACGGGGCUAAACCAUGCACCGAAGCUGCGGCAGCGACACUGUGUGUUGUUGGGUAGGGGAGCGUUCUGUAAGCCUGCGAAGGUGUGCUGUGAGGCAUGCUGGAGGUAUCAGAAGUGCGAAUGCUGACAUAAGUAACGAUAAAGCGGGUGAAAAGCCCGCUCGCCGGAAGACCAAGGGUUCCUGUCCAACGUUAAUCGGGGCAGGGUGAGUCGACCCCUAAGGCGAGGCCGAAAGGCGUAGUCGAUGGGAAACAGGUUAAUAUUCCUGUACUUGGUGUUACUGCGAAGGGGGGACGGAGAAGGCUAUGUUGGCCGGGCGACGGUUGUCCCGGUUUAAGCGUGUAGGCUGGUUUUCCAGGCAAAUCCGGAAAAUCAAGGCUGAGGCGUGAUGACGAGGCACUACGGUGCUGAAGCAACAAAUGCCCUGCUUCCAGGAAAAGCCUCUAAGCAUCAGGUAACAUCAAAUCGUACCCCAAACCGACACAGGUGGUCAGGUAGAGAAUACCAAGGCGCUUGAGAGAACUCGGGUGAAGGAACUAGGCAAAAUGGUGCCGUAACUUCGGGAGAAGGCACGCUGAUAUGUAGGUGAAGUCCCUCGCGGAUGGAGCUGAAAUCAGUCGAAGAUACCAGCUGGCUGCAACUGUUUAUUAAAAACACAGCACUGUGCAAACACGAAAGUGGACGUAUACGGUGUGACGCCUGCCCGGUGCCGGAAGGUUAAUUGAUGGGGUCAGCGCAAGCGAAGCUCUUGAUCGAAGCCCCGGUAAACGGCGGCCGUAACUAUAACGGUCCUAAGGUAGCGAAAUUCCUUGUCGGGUAAGUUCCGACCUGCACGAAUGGCGUAAUGAUGGCCAGGCUGUCUCCACCCGAGACUCAGUGAAAUUGAACUCGCUGUGAAGAUGCAGUGUACCCGCGGCAAGACGGAAAGACCCCGUGAACCUUUACUAUAGCUUGACACUGAACAUUGAGCCUUGAUGUGUAGGAUAGGUGGGAGGCUUUGAAGUGUGGACGCCAGUCUGCAUGGAGCCGACCUUGAAAUACCACCCUUUAAUGUUUGAUGUUCUAACGUGGACCCGUAAUCCGGGUUGCGGACAGUGUCUGGUGGGUAGUUUGACUGGGGCGGUCUCCUCCUAAAGAGUAACGGAGGAGCACGAAGGUUGGCUAAUCCUGGUCGGACAUCAGGAGGUUAGUGCAAUGGCAUAAGCCAGCUUGACUGCGAGCGUGACGGCGCGAGCAGGUGCGAAAGCAGGUCAUAGUGAUCCGGUGGUUCUGAAUGGAAGGGCCAUCGCUCAACGGAUAAAAGGUACUCCGGGGAUAACAGGCUGAUACCGCCCAAGAGUUCAUAUCGACGGCGGUGUUUGGCACCUCGAUGUCGGCUCAUCACAUCCUGGGGCUGAAGUAGGUCCCAAGGGUAUGGCUGUUCGCCAUUUAAAGUGGUACGCGAGCUGGGUUUAGAACGUCGUGAGACAGUUCGGUCCCUAUCUGCCGUGGGCGCUGGAGAACUGAGGGGGGCUGCUCCUAGUACGAGAGGACCGGAGUGGACGCAUCACUGGUGUUCGGGUUGUCAUGCCAAUGGCACUGCCCGGUAGCUAAAUGCGGAAGAGAUAAGUGCUGAAAGCAUCUAAGCACGAAACUUGCCCCGAGAUGAGUUCUCCCUGACUCCUUGAGAGUCCUGAAGGAACGUUGAAGACGACGACGUUGAUAGGCCGGGUGUGUAAGCGCAGCGAUGCGUUGAGCUAACCGGUACUAAUGAACCGUGAGGCUUAACCU